AUGCAUCACUCAGUUCACAUGACCCCACGCGGAGGAUACAGAGUCUUCAACAGCCAAUCAGAGGCUACGCAGGUCACGUCCAGCCUGUCAGCUCAGAAGUGAUGCGCAUGCGUGUUGUUCUCCUGGUCUUUUCCAACCUCGGACUCCAGAGUUUAGCAGCUACGCAGCGGAGGAAAAAAAGACGGAAAGAGGAGAAAAUACGUCAGGUUUUUUGAGUGGACGAGAAAGUCCAAGGACCAGGAAGAGAUCCUGGUUGUAAACUGAUGCGGUGCAUCCUGGGAGCUCACGUCACAUAUCAGAGGAGAUCUGGUGGUGCCUACAG
Molecule: long non-coding RNA, 322 nt
Filed under: Gouania willdenowi (blunt-snouted clingfish)
Lineage: Eukaryota; Metazoa; Chordata; Actinopteri; Blenniiformes; Gobiesocidae
Description: lncRNA (ENSGWIG00000003530.1)
Source: RNAcentral